AGCAAAGCCUUUGCACCAGGAGAAGCAUUUCUCCUGAAGUCACACAGUGACAAAAGGUAAUUUCACGUCCACUGACAUGGAAACUGAAUUUCCACCACUCCUGGCUUUCAGCAACGUCAGACCAUAUCUGCGUGUUCUUAAAGGAAGAGGCUGUGCACGGACCACUUUUGAUAAGAGAAUGAUGGAGUUACCAAUUAGAAGCCACUCCAAAUCAUCACUGAAAUGAAAAGGGAGCUACUGGAAAAGGAGAGGUUAACCAUUUGCCCAAGAUGAGACAGCCAGAGAGUAGAGAAACCAGGAUUACCAGGUAGAACACCGGACCCGAGCUUGGCCACUGUUUGUUUUACAAGGUCGUCUUUCUACAGUAUCCCAGUUCUGGUAACAGGGUCCUUACUUCCUUCCAAUUCCCCAAUUUGAGUCCUUUUCUAAACUGUCUCAAGAUCACAUGCCUCCCUAAGGUUGGACUCCUGCCUGGCAUUUCUCUUUUGGGGAAUAAGUUUUUGCCUUGAGUUUCACCCAUUCAUCCAGGGCCCCAUUGGCCCUGAGGCCAGCUCCCUUCAUGUCUCAAUCUCCAAAUACUAUAUGCUCCUGGGUUUCACACAAUCAUAUCUCCCACUGUUAGAUGUCCCCAGGUGAUGUGUUCAGCCUUCCUGCAUAAACUUCAUCCCAAGCCAAGCAGGUGAAUUAGGAUUGAACUGGAAAAUGCCCCCAUACAAGGAGAGCUUUCAAUUUACUGUUCUGAAAGAUACCUUGCAUUUUUCUAGAUGCCUAGAGAGACCCUAAGGGACCCCUCACCCCUGUGCCAAGUAACCCUGCUGUCCCUGUAGUGUCAGUAUGGUACCCACUAGAAUUCUGUAAGCUAGACUGGCCUCUGCCUUCUCUAUGAACCUGACAUCUUGCCACACAAGGGAGACAAUGGAGAAGUGCUCUAUACUGCUAGAUGUCAACACCUUGUGAAGAUGUUUGUAUCAAAUUAAAUCCAUAGGAAAAAUGUAAACGCUUCCCUCUUCUGCCUUUCUUGGUGAUAGUCCUCACUACUUGUUAUGAGAUGUCUGUUAUAGUUUGGAUAUCUGUCCCCACCCAAAUGUCAUGUUGAAUUGUAAUCCCCAAUUCUGGAGGUGGGGGCUGGUCAGAGGUGCCUGGAUCAUGGGGGCAAAUCCCUCAUGGCUUGGUGCUUUCUUUGUGAUGCAGAGUUCUCAGGAGAUCUGGUCAUUUUCAAAGUGUAUGGCACCUCCCUCCCCACUGUCUCUCUCUCUCUCUCCCUCUCUUGCUCCUGCUCCAGCCAUGUGACAUAUCUGCUCCCCCUUUGC
RNAcentral lists this long non-coding RNA (1310 nucleotides) under Homo sapiens (human). Its description in RNAcentral is "HSALNT0344184". Lineage: Eukaryota; Metazoa; Chordata; Mammalia; Primates; Hominidae. The record is from RNAcentral.